UACGGGGGGUCCAAGCGUUGUUCGGAAUCACUGGGCGUAAAGCGCACGUAGGUGGCUUUUCAAGUCAGUUGUGAAAGCCCUGGGCCUAACCCAGGAAGUGCAACUGAUACUGUUAAGCUUGAGUACGAGAGAGGAUAGUGGAAUUCCAGGUGUAGUGGUGAAAUACGUAGAUAUCUGGAGGAACAUCGGUGGCGAAGGCGGCUAUCUGGCUCGAUACUGACACUGAGGUGCGAAAGCGUGGGGAUCAAACAGG
Molecule: ribosomal RNA, 253 nt
Filed under: uncultured bacterium
Lineage: Bacteria
Description: partial 16S ribosomal RNA
Rfam family: Bacterial small subunit ribosomal RNA
Source: RNAcentral